ACUCCUACGGGAGGCAGCAGUGGGAAGUAUUGCACAAUGGGGGAAACCCUGAUGCAGCCAUGCCGCGUGUGUGAAGAAGGCCUUGGGUUGUAAAGCACUUUCAGUAGGGAGGAAGGUAGUGUAGUUAACACCUGCAUUAUUUGACGUUACCUACAGAAGAAGCACCGGCUAACUCCGUGCCAGCAGCCGCGGUAAUACGGAGGGUGCGAGCGUUAAUCGGAAUUACUGGGCGUAAAGCGCAUGCAGGCGGCCUGUUAAGUCAGAUGUGAAAGCCCGGGGUCUUAACCUCGGAAUUGCAUUUGAAACUGGCAGGCUAGAGUCUUGUAGAGGGGUUAGAAUUUCAGGUGUAGCGGUGAAAUGCGUAGAGAUC
This 370-nucleotide ribosomal RNA is filed under the name uncultured bacterium. Its description in RNAcentral is "bacterial SSU rRNA". It matches the Rfam family "Bacterial small subunit ribosomal RNA", at positions 335 to 698 of the family's 1533-position model. The record is from RNAcentral.